AGACUUUGCGUACUGCUUCUGCUAUAUCCCGGUUUUGACUUGGGAUUUGGAACCUAUGAUUCCACCACCCCACUUCUUCCUGUACUCUUCAUACUUGUCACUGAAGUUAGCCUUGAUUGCUUCAAGGACCCUGCUAAACUCCGUUUUAUCUUCAUUUUUAACCGUUGUCAAGCACAAAACAGCUGCAGUUUUCUUAUGGACAACAGUUCCAAGGCGAGCCUUGCCCUUAACAAUACAGUAAGGAAAUUCCAUCUUCCUGCACAAAGCUGGAAGCCAGACAACCAAUUCAAUUGGAUCAACGUCAUGGGCAAUCACGACAAGCUGAGCUUUAUUCUGCUCGAUGAGGUAGGUAACAUGAUUGAGACCAUAAAUGUUAGGGACCUGAUGCUGUUAUUUGGAUGUGAUGCCAAUACCCCUGCACCCUUGCCGCUACUGACUGGUGUGUGGAUGAAUGGAAGUGCAGGAUAGUUUGCUGCAGAAUGGGUGCUGUUAACAGCAGGUUUCCGUGUUGCUUCGGGCUUUGGUAGAGGGUGGUUGCGUGUCUGAAUUGUGGCAUUCAUGUCAUGAGUAGCAAGCCUAAGAAUUGCCGAAUUCAUCAAAUUGAUAAAGGUGGGAGCAGCAUGCUGACAAGAAAAGUUGUGUAAUAUAGUGUAGCCUAAGCUUCCAUCAGUGUUUUGGCCAUUCAUCGCAAUUGCCCCAAACCUAGAUUGGUAGGACUCAUUAAAGCUAGCCAUCAAAUAUUCACUCGUUGAAAGUAGAGCAAGUCCCAAAGUUGGCCCUGCUGCUUUCACUGCAUCAGCAUAUGCCUUUUCUGAAUUGGGAAAUUUAUAUGAGCUUGGGUUGCCGAGAGUUAAAGCGUAACCAACUCCAUAAUGAUGCUUCAAGAAAAGGAAGCUUCCACAGCAUUUCAGAGAACCAUCGGCCAUGAUAGCUAUCCGGUCACCUAGUUCAUCUGCUUCGUCCAUGGAAUGUGUUGCUCGUCAAGAAUUAUAACCUUACUGUUUCCAACUGAUGCGAGAAGACCAACAAGCAUUGAUAUUGUCGUGCUUCCUCAUGGAAAUAAACUUCAGAAGAAGUUUCUUCUCAGCUUGAACUGACCCUGUCUUGCUGGAUUGAAUUU
Molecule: long non-coding RNA, 1120 nt
Organism: Lathyrus oleraceus (garden pea)
Lineage: Eukaryota; Viridiplantae; Streptophyta; Magnoliopsida; Fabales; Fabaceae
Exons: 3
Source: RefSeq, a predicted model, not a curated record